Long non-coding RNA from Micropterus salmoides (largemouth bass), 428 nucleotides. RefSeq lists it as uncharacterized. The transcript has 4 exons. Lineage: Eukaryota; Metazoa; Chordata; Actinopteri; Centrarchiformes; Centrarchidae. The record is from RefSeq and is a predicted model, not a curated record.
AACGUUACCUCCAUUUGGUGGCGCUACAUACCAAAACAUGAACUAAAUACUACUCAGUUAAGAGUAGAAGAAGACAUCCCCCACGACUUUGACGUUUAGCAGUAGCCCUGACCUUCCUACUGCAGCGUGACAAACUGAAAGAUGGCUGGACGUGCGUUUGCAAGUUGGUGGGGCAAGAUGAGCCCUUACUACACUAAGGCAUACCAGGAGAUGUGGGUGGGUCUUGGCAUUAUGACAUACCUGUACUACAAACUUUCCUAUGGGGGCAAGAAGGCUGUAAAGGACAAGCCUGCCCAUUGAAUUUCCACCAUGAUGUCCACCCCUCCACCUGCUGUGAAAUAAUGCCCCAGUCGUUAGCCCAGAAGUUCAGCUUCAUAUUUGAAUUUUUGUUAAUAUGGAACAAAUAAAGUUGUUAUCCACAACUUUUU